RNAcentral lists this long non-coding RNA (11860 nucleotides) under Gossypium barbadense (sea-island cotton). Its description in RNAcentral is "long non-coding RNA (GBAR_LNC002227)". Lineage: Eukaryota; Viridiplantae; Streptophyta; Magnoliopsida; Malvales; Malvaceae. The record is from RNAcentral.
GAUGACCCUCAGAGGCGUGCGGAGUGGCGAUGACAGAGGCGUGGUGGCCGAGCACGCGUGGGGAGGUCGAUGGUUCGGCGGCCGCAUGCUUGGGGCUAGGGUUUUUUACUUGUUUAGCAGAAAAUAUUUUGUGGGCUAAGUUUUUAUGUUUAUUGGGCUUAUUGGGCUUGCAACUGGGUAAUGGGUUUUGUAAUUGUUUUAUUUGGUUUUUAGGCCCCGGGCAAAAUUUAGGCCUUACAGCUGCCCCUCUUUGCUCAUUGUCGUGUAACGAGAACAGAGCAAAGACUAUAAAAGGGACAAAUUUGCCGAGACCUUCCGGGUCUUGACUUCUCUUGGCGUUUCUUUUCUUCAAGUAGCCUCCUUCUAACCCACUGCAACUUCAGAGGUAUAGAAUUUAUUGUUUCAAUCUGCCCUACUACAACUUCAGGGAGGUAAGGUUUGUUUUGAUCUGCUCCACUGUAACUUCGAGAGAUAAGAUCUGUGAUUUAACUUCAAUCUAUUCCACUGUAACUUUAGGGAAAUAAUAUUUGCUAUCUUCAGUCUGCUCCACUGCAACUUCAGAGAGAUAAGACUCGUAAUUUCAACCUACUCCACUGCAACUUCAGGGAGAUAAGGUUGUUUUGAUCUACUCUACUGCAACUUCAGAGAGAUAAGAUCUGUAAUUUAGCUUUAAACUGUUUCACUGCAAUUUUAGGUAAAUAAGAUUUGCUAUCUUUAGUCUGCUCCACUGCAACUCCAGGGAGAUGAGACUUGUGUUGAUCUGCUCUGCUGCAACUUCAAAGAGAUAAGAUCUGUAAUUUAGCUUCAAUCUGUUCCACUGCAACUUUAGGGAAAUAAGAUUUGCUAUCUUCAGUCUGCUCCACUGCAACUUCAGAGAGAUAAGACUUGUAUCUUCGACCUGCUCUACUGCAACUUCAGAGAGAUAAGAUCUAUUUUGAUCUGCUCUACUGCAACUUCAAAGAGAUAAGAUCUGUAAUUUAGCUUUAAUCCGUUCCAGUGUAACUUCAGGGAAAUAAGAUUUGCUAUCUUCAGUCUGCUCCGCUGCAACUUCAGGGAGAUAAGAUUUUUGACUUCAAUCUACUCCGCUGAAACUUCAAGGAGAUCUACUAUGGCUUCGAGCCGCUCCAAUGCCAUUUUAGGGAGAAGAGAUCCACUGAAACUUCAAGGAGAUCUGUUAUGGCUUCUAGCCACUCCAAUGCCAUUUCAGGAAGAAGAGAUCCACUGAAACUUCAAGGAGAUCUACUAUGGCUUUUAGCCGCUCCAACGCCAUUUCAGGAAGAAGAGAUCCACUGAAACUUCAAGGAGAUCUGAUUUGACUUUUAGCCGCUCCAACGCUAUUUCAGGGAAAAGAGAUCCGCUGAAACUUCAAGGAGAUCUGCUGUGGCUUUUAGUCGCUCCAACGCCAUUUCAGGAAGAAGAAAUCCGCUGAAACUUCAAGGAGAUCUGCUGUGGCUUUUAGCCGCUCCAAUGUCAUUUCAGGGAAAAGAGAUCCGCUAAAACCUCAAGGAGAUCUACUGUGGCUUUUAGCCGCCCCAACGCCAUUUCAGGGAAAAGAGAUCCACUGAAACUUCAAGGAGAUCUGCUGUGGCUUUUAGCCACUCCAACUCCAUUUCAGGGGAGAGAGAUCCUCUGAAACUUCAAGGAGAUCUGCUGUGGCUUUUAGCCACUUCAACGCCAUUUCAGGGAAAAGAGAUCCACUGAAACUUCAAGGAGAUCUGCUGUGGCUUUUAGCCGCUCCAACUCCAUUUCAGGGGAGAGAGAUCCUCUGAAACUUCAAGAAGAUCUGCUGUGGCUUUUAGCCACUCCAAUGCCAUUUCAGGGAAAAGAGAUCCACUGAAACUUCAAGAAGAUCUGCUGUGGCUUUUAGCCGCUCCAACGCCAUUUUUGGGGAAAGAGAUCCACUGAAACUUCAAGUAGAUCUGCUGUGGUUUUUAGCCGCUCCAACGCCAUUUCAGGGGAAAGAGAUCCUCUGAAACUUCAAGGAGAUCUGCUGUGGCUUUUAGCCGCUCCAACGCCAUUUCAGAGAGGGGAUUGGUAAUUCAGCCUGUUACCCUACUGCUUAGGGGGUUAAGGCUCACCGUCUUUGAUCUGCUUCCCUAUAACUUAGGGAGUUAAGAUCUGUAAAUUCAACCUGUUACCCUACUGCAUAGGGUUUAAGGCUUGUGAAUUCACUGAUUCUAGGGACAUGACCAGUAGAAUCAGUUCCAUGUAUCUAUGCUUAUGUCAAAUUAUUAGGAUGCUAUGAUCAAAAUGAAUCAAAUGCUCCUAACUAGAUGUGUUAUGAAUGUGUCAAAUAAUUAGGGUGAUAUGAUUGAAAUGAAUCAAAUGCUCCUAAUUAUGAAUGAAAAUGAUCCCUUUAAAAAGGCAUAAGGUAUCAUCGUUCGUUGUUCAUCAGGACAUUAUCAUUGACGUAUUACGCUGCCAUCUUGUCCGGCUGGUAUUCUUGACAGAAAAGUCAAAGAAACAAUCACAUUUUGCUCUGCAGGCUUGCCCCACUAUAAUUUCAGAGUCCCUUCUACUGUACCUUCUGGGAUAUAAAGUUUGUGCCUCCCACUGCAAUUUCAGAGGAACAACAUUUGGUUUCUUUCAUCCAUCCUGCUGCAAAUCAAAGGUGCAUGGUUUGUAUCAUCUUCAAUCAAUUUGAUCUGUUACACUAUUCACCGGGUUGUAAUGACAGAUGUAUAUGUCUGAUAUUUGCAUGAAUGCAGAAUAUCAUUUUUCUUUUCCUUAGAAUAAUCUCAUUGCUCGUUCUUUGCCGGGAUUAUAACAUCAAUGUAUUUCUUUUUGCUCAACCAACAUCUUUGACAGAAAAACCCCAUGAGAUAAUUUCAAUUUGGGCUUAAAUAUUUCCAACCCUUGGGCUUGGUGAGUUCUGAAUAAUAGUCCUGUUUCGAGCUCCUAUACUAUUUAGAAACUUCCAAAGUAAUAUGCAGAACUUCUUUUGUGAAAGUAUUAUUGGUCUAUUAAUCGUUAUUUCAAUGCAAGAUGCUUGAAAAAUAUCAAAACGAUAGAUAAGAAGGAAAUUGGUAGGGAGCAUAGCUCGAAAUGAAUAAAUUAAUCAAAGAUUGCAAAUGCAAUAAGAAGAAAAUUUAUUCGGACAUAUCUUGAAAAGGAUCAAAGAUAACAAAUUCAAAAUGGGCAAAAUAGAAGCUAGAUGACCCAGAUAUCGCAGCUUGAGCUUCUCUGUACCAACUUCUUGAGGACCUUUCUGAGCUCAAUAUGUGUUUAGGGGAUCCGGGGUGCUUUGUCCAUGCCCCAAGACGUAGCAUACUUCUUCAUUCUUAAUUCAGGCAUAGCAAGACUAACGUAUGCCCCACUUUGAUCCAAAUUUGAGCCGCCUAUUUUGGGUUUUCAACUCAAAUCCCCUUUGGUCUCAAGGCGCCCUUUGCGAGUUUUCGCCAUGGCCUCUCCUUUUUCUUUUCUUCUUUCCCCUUUUUUUUGAAGGUCUCAAAACACCCUUUGCGGGUUUUCGCCUUGGCCUCUCACUUUUUAGGUGAAAUACUUCUUGUCGAAAUUCAAAUUUACCAACUUGGGCAAAUCUUUGCCGUCAAUAUUAAUGCCCCUCCAAAAUAGGUCUUCUUUACUACAUAAGGUCCUUCUCAGUUUGGCAUCCACUUUUCUCAGAAGUUCUUUUAUAUAAGAGGGAUCUUUUCAUUAUCAAGUUUCCCUCGUGAAAUUCUAUAGGAUGAACCUCUUCAUCGUAAGCCCACAUCGUUUAUUGGACCAUGACAGAUGGCUUUCAACCUCUUUUCUUCAAAUUUAACUAAUCAUAUCAGGAUUGGAUCCGUUUUGCUUUAUCCAACUACAGCCCUGACGAGACUCGGAGAAAAGGAAUCUCAUCUUCAAAAUUGAUUCUAUCCUAUAAACCAACGAGUAAUGUGUUGCCCCAGCUAAGGUCUUGGCCGACGUUCGAUGAGCAUAGAGGGUACAUGAUGACUUCUUAUGUCGAUCUUUACAAGUCUCAGUCAUCUUUCCAUGAUCUUCUUAUUCUUAUUAUUCUUUUUUUUUUAGAAUUUGAUGAUUGGCAUAUGAAGUGACUUUCACCCUCUUGGCGAAGUAAUUGAUGCCUGCUAGAAGCCUUCGACGAGAUCGGCCCAAUAACCUCAAUGCCCCAUAUAGAGAAAGUCGAAAGAAUGAAUGGGGCACAUGAAUUUUCUCUCCAUAAAUUUGGCAUUUACAGCAUACUGAUGCAAUCCUUUUCUAUGGUGGACCAGCAAAACCCAAAUCUCAUUAUUAGCCUGGCCAGCAUAUGUCAUUCAAAACCCUGCAACAUCCUCAUGUCUUAGUAUCCAGGCGUAUCUUGAUACGAUCGUGCAAAAAUCUUUAAAUUCUUGAAAGUGACUCAAUGACGUCUCGUCUUGCCUUUGUGGUGAUGCAGACUCCGAUGUUUGCCCCUUUCUCUUAUCCUAGGCCUUUGUCCACUGUCUUUUUGUAAGAGAGGAUCUGUUUUCAUCUUACUCUACCAUCCUUAACAAAUCAGAGAGUAGUCUACAUCUCUGUCAUCUUCAAAGUGUUGAGAUCCCUUUAGGCCCAUAUUUCGCUCAAAAGGAGACUCGGAGUCAAUGACAGCGUUACUCACAUCAUUGAUAUCUGGGGACCCGCUGAAGGCAGAUUCCAAAGAAUAAAUGAUUCUAAGGAUGAUUGUUUGUAUGGUAUGAUCAUGGAUGAAGUAUACAUGAAUAUUUGAAAGAAAUUCCAAAGAACAAAUGAAUCUAAGAACAAUUAUUUCUGCAAUAUGAAAUCAAAGAAUAUUUGCUCAAAAAGAUGCAUUUUAUUGAAAUAAAGACUUAGGACACAAGCCUAUUUCACAAAAGGGGUUUAAUUGCUUCUAGGCUUAAAGUAACAAGCGUGUUUUAAAUAUUACUCUAGAUUAGCUCUAAAAAAUAAAGGGAUCUCUUCCACAGUCCCAUUGUUCAAAACACUUCCAAGUAAUGUAACGGUUUGGAAACUUUUAUGCCCCUGUUCCCUCUUCGGAUAUAUCAUUCAGAUUCCUCGAUAUUCCUCCCAGGCUUUGACUUGUUCGAGGCAUCACAAAUUGCGUUUACUGCAUUAUCGGAGUGAUUUGGUUCUGAGGAAUCGUCAAACUUCACUACUCUCAUUUCAAUAAACCUUUCGACCAACUUUUUAAAUAUAGUGCAGUUUUCGGUUGAGUGUCCCCUUAUUCCUGCGUGGUACUCAUAUUGAACAUUCUCAUUAUACCAUUUCGGGAACGGAGGUUGCACAGGUUUCGAGUAGAACGGAGACACCACAUUCCCAUCAAAAAGAUUAUGAUACAACUCCUUAUAUGACAUUGAGAUGGGUGUAAAUCGGAGCCUUUCUGUAUUUGGCCUCGAGUUAGAUUCCUGCCUCGAAGAGCUCUGAUAGCUAGUGGUUACAAUCCUCGGUUGGCCUAUGUUGAGCAAUUUGGAAGGCAUGCUCACGAUGUUCACUUCAUUUUUGCUGUUUCUCAGGGUUGACCUUUUGGCGCUUUCUCCCGCAUCUAUCUUCCCACUCCUGAUUGCGUUUUCGAUCAUUUCACCGGACAUUACUAUAUCUGAGAAGCUCAUGGUAGCGUUUCCCAACAUAUGGGUAAUGAAUGGGGCUUUCAGAGUGUUGACGAAAAGUAUCGAAGUUUCUUUCUCUAGAAGAGGUGGCUGGACUUGCGUUGCUACCUCUCUCCAUCUUUGGGCAUAUUGUCUGAAGCUCUCACUUUGCUUCUUUUCAAUAUUCUGCAGUGUAAUUCUAUCAGGUGCCAUGUCAGUCACGUGGCCAUACUGCUUCAUGAAAGCCCGUGCUAAGUCUUUCCAUGAAUUGAUUUUAGCACGAUUUAAUUUAUUGUACCAUUUAGCUGCUGACCCGAUCAGACUGUCUUGGAAGCAAUGAAUUAAUAAUUGGUCGUUAUUAACAUAUCCAGUCAUCCUUCGACAGAACAUUGUGACGUGAGCUUCAAGACAACUAGUCCCAUUGUACUUUUCAAACUCUGGAGUCCUAAAUUUUGGCGGGAGUACUAAAUCAGGGACCAACUCAAAUCCUUGGCAUCAAUCCCGCGAUAAUAAUCAGCAUUCUCCAUUGCUCUGAGUUUUUCUUCCAACCAUUUGUAUCGAUCUUCGAGAUGCCUUGGUAGUUCAACCUUUGCUUUUUCUAUUCCUUCCAUUUCGUCUAGAUCAGGAACUUCAUGAUUGGUUGGACUGUUCCUUGGAUUGAAACCUGAGCCUGUCGGGUAGUUCAUGGGUGCCGAGGUACCAACCCGAUGUUGUUGUGAUCUGAUAGCAAUAGGUACAUCUUGCGAGCAUGUCUGAUCAUUUAUCGAGGUGAAACCCGGAGGGUAUAGAGGCUCUUCAUUGUCCUCCCCAACAUUGAUCAUGGAGUUUCUUCCUUUUCUUAGCCCCUUAGUCAGUAAUUGGAACAACUGACUCAUCACAUUCCUUUGGGACUCUAACAUUUGGUCCCUCAUGUCUUAUUGGAUCUUCGCCAGUUGCUCUUGCAUUUGCAGUUGUAACUGGUCUUGCAUCUCUUUUUGAAGUUGUUCCAGUCUUUCCAAUCUUUGAUCCAUAUCUUUUGUCCUUUUCCUUGUACCGUAAAGAUGCCUAGUCGCUUGACUUUUAUCGGUUCCCAGGUUAACUAAAAUAAUUUUACCUAAUUAGGGUCUUUUUAGGAAAAGUCCAAUGCAAAUAAUGCAAUGCAAAUGCAAAUGCAUGGAAUGAAUACAAAAGAAAGGAAGGCGUUGAUUCUAAAUUCAAUUCCAUUAGAACAAUUUUUCUAGAAAACAAAUUCCCUUGCAUAAAACAGAUUACAUAUGCGACCUUUCUCUCAUAUUCCAAGCGAAGAUGCCUAUCUUCCUCUUCAUAUCCAGAUGUUAUGGUUGACUCCAAAAGAUGUCCUUAUCGACUCCUUUUUGCUUGAUCUAGGCCGCCACUCAUUGAUACUUAUUGUCGCGAUACUCGUCAGCUCCUUUAAGAAAGUCGAGAUGUGAUGACUAUCGAAUAAUCCUUGUCAGCUUGAAUACUCGGGCAAUGAAACAGAGUUUUGUAUUACUCCAUUACAUAUGCAGUAUUGCCCUCAUAUUCCAGGCGAAAACACCUAUCCUCCUCUUAAUAUCCGGAUGUUAUGGUCGAGUCUUGUGAAGUUUCCAAAAGAUGUCUUUAUCGUUUUCUUUCUGCUCGAUCUAGAUUGCAGCCCAUCGCUCACUUAUCCCCGCGAUGCUCAUUAGCUUCUUUAAGACAUGACGGCUUUCGAAUAAUCUUUGCUAGCUUGAAUCAUCAGGCGAUAAAGCAACAUCGUAUAUUUCUUCAUGGAUUAUUAAUCUUCCUUCAUUGUGUUUACUUGGACCAUAUUUAGACAACCGUGUUAUAAUCCACUUUAUCAAGAAAUUCGUUUUCUUAUGAAAAACUGUUCUAUCCAGCAAUCAAAUAUGAAUCAACACCUCCUUUCUAUGAUGAUGUAAUGCAAUGCAGUUAUAAACAAAACAAAAUAAAAACAAAACACGUUAGUAUAAGAGAAAUAAAUAUCAAAUAAAGCACCUAUUUGGGUGACCACUAGGGGUUUGGAGUGGCUCUACCUAGGGUGGGUUCCUAGGUCUCUCUAUAUGUUGUUUGGUUCUAAAGUAAAGAUACCUGAACCAGCAGAUUCCUUGAUCCUCGCCCAUUAUAGGCUCAUAUGGAUCGAGUUCGAUUCAGGGGAAUACAUUUCCCUACGGCUAUACGGAGAUGAAAACCUCACACAGACGCAGGUACGGAUGUAUCCCGAAAGCGAUCCACUAUCCUAUACGGAGGUGAAGACCUCACGAAGGAGUAGUUUCUCACUUCCACUUAAGAGGGUGAAAUUGACCAAUAAUGCGAUGCGAUAUGCAAAGAUACAUCAAAGAAUUAAACUACUUAAAGCAAGCAUAUUAUGAAGAAAGCAACAAAAAUAACAAACAAUAUGCAAUGCAGAUAAUUUAAAACCGAUUUUCAAUUUUCGACAAAAGACAAAAAUUAAUCAAUUUAAGGUUUGACUCUCGAAUUCCCCAGUGGAGUCGUCAAGCUGUCGUAACCAUUUUUUUUAAAUGGGGAUUGACUUUGGUUUUGAAAGUGAAAAUUAAAAUGGGAGUCACCACCAAUCCUUUUUGAUGAGGUGUGAUCGGGUCACCUUAAAUUAAUCAUUUUAAUAAAAUUUAAGCUUUACUAAAAUGAUAAUUUUUGGUCUACGAAAAUCAAAAAACGAGUUUGGGAGUCGGUUACGCAUAAGGAAGGGUUAGCACCCUCGAUAUGCCCAAAAUUGGUACCUAGUUAAUUAAUUAGUGUCUUAGUGUCAAAAAUUUGAAAACUUGAUAGAAUUUAAAAUAAGAUCCCUCUUUGUAUUAAUGCUAAUUUAAAAAAAAUGAUUGAAUAAAUUAAAACGAAUGUUAAGGACUCUCUCAUCUCGAGGUAAUAAAAUAUCAUGUCCAGUAAGUUAGGACACGACAUCUCGAACUUUGGGACUGAGCUUGCCUUUUAUUUAAAAUUAAUGUAUUUUAACUUCUUUUAAAAGGAUAUUCGGUAAAUUAGGAUGAACGAGGAAAAUCGAAACCCAGUAAGUUAGGGCACGUUUCCCUGAAUUUCGAACACCGAAUAUUAUUUUUAUUUGAGAAUUUUCCUUUUAUGAAAUAAUAGCAAAUAUGCAAUUUAAAAUUAUGUGUAUUUAUUUUGUUUGGAAUAAAAACUGAACGAUCCGUAUUGAGUAAAACAUUGGAACUUAAUACACGAUAUGAUUUGAACUAGAUAAACAAGAGUGUAAAAUGGCGCAUGGAAUAAUGAAACAUGAAUUAGAUACAAUAUUAAUGAAUGCCCCAAUAUGAAGAUGUCAAUAAAUAAUUUCUAAUGCAUAUAAUGACCAUAUUCGCAAUGUAUAUUAUUUUUAUACCAACCAAUAGGCAAAAACAAACGAAGUAAAAUAAUAUACAAAAAAUGAUUUAAGGCAAAUAGGAUAAAAGUUUCAAAUAAAUAAAAAUGUAGUGAUUAAGAUUCAAAACACAUAAUGCCAAAGAAUGGUUCAAGAAGAACUAUAUGUGAAAAAGAUUCAACAUAAAUAAAAUAUAAACAAUUUGGGAUAAAAUAAUAUAUAAGGCAAAUUUCAAAUAAAUAAUAUGUUAAAUGAAUUAAAACAAUACAUAAGGUAAAAUAAAAGGACCCUUUAAAACAAUAAGAGCGUUUGAAAUAAAUAAUAUGUGAAAGAGAAAUUUAAAAAUAAUACUAAUAAUAAUAAUAUACAAAAACAGUUUAAACAAAAAUAGAUAAACAUAAUCCAAAGUGAGAUAUAUAUAUAUAAAAGUUUUAAAAUAAGUAACACAUAGAAAGUUCAAAACGAACAACAAUAAAAGGAAUUUGAAAACGGUUAACACUUAAGAAAAUUUAAAAUAUGUUAUAUAUAUACAAUAAUUUAAAAUAGAAGGUAUGUAUGUAAAGAUAUAAAAUAAAUAAAUAAAUAAAUAAAUAGUAAAAUGACAAUAAUAGGAAAUGAUGAAAAUAAAUAAAGCUCAUUUUAAAGAUUUGAUAAAAAAAUGAUAUUAACGAUAUAAUAAAAAAAUCUGUAGUUUAAAAGAAAACUAUGUAAAGGAUAUAAAUAAAUAAAAUGAUAACAACAAGAAUAAAAUACGUAAAAAAAUAAAAUAUGUAAAGGAUAUAAAUAAAUAAAAUGAUAAUAACAAGAAUAAAAUACGUAAAAAAAAAUAAAAGUAACAUUAAUAUAUAAAUAUAGAUAGAAGUAUAAUGAAUGGAAAUGUAAUAGAAACAUAAAUAAAUAAAUAAAAUUAGAGAAAUGAUGAUAAUGUCAGAAUAAUAAAGUAAACAUGAGUAUAAAUAUAAUACCAAUAGUAAUAAUAUAAUAAUGACAAAAGUAACAAUAAUAAUAAUAAUAAUAAUAAUAAUAAUAAUAUCAAUAAUAAUUAUGAUGAUGAUGAUGAUAAAGAAAAUGAGUAAUUAAUGAAAGAAAAUAUAGAUAUAAAAAAAUGAAUGAUAGAUGAAUAAAUAAUAAAAUAAUAAAAGAUAACAAAAUGGAAACAACAAAAGUAAAUAAAAUUGAAAAGAAAUAAAAGAAUUAUGAAUUAAUGAUUCCAAUAGUGUAAACGAAUAAUAUUCACCAAUAAAUAAAUGAACAAGUAAAACAAAAGAAUAAUGGAAAAAUAUAUUUAUAAACAAAUAAACAGAUGAAUGAGUGAGUAAACAAACAAAAAUGUACUAAUUUGAAAGUCAAAUGGGGUUUUGGGGUAAAAAUAGAAAUAAAAUAAAGUCAAAGGACCAAAUUGCGGUGCGCUGAAACUAGCAGGGACUAAACAGGAUAAUAUCCCUAGUCCUUUUGCGUUGCGUUUUGACUAACAAGGCCCUGGGUUAAAUUAAAAAUGAAAUAAAAUUAAAGAGGAGAAUUUGAAGAAAAAUAAAAAGGAAAAUGGGAUUAGAAUGAAAACCUAGAAAAUUCGAAGGGACUAGCUACACAAAUUAUCCAUUUUAGGCGCAUGGACCCUUUCCUUCUACCCAAACGGCAUUGUUUUAGUUAAUGUAUAAAAUGGCCAAUUUUUUUUUUUAAAAAGGAAUCUUUCAUUUUCUUUCUUUUCCAGAAACGAACAGCAGCUGUUCCCCCCCACCAUUUUCUUCAUUUUUUAGAUCUGCUAGGGUUUCAAAAGGAACCCAUUUCGCCGCCGUCGUCGGACUGCCACCUUAUACGAUGGCCGGCGUUCCCAAAUCACCCUUUUUUCGGCUGAUUUGGCUCUCCCUACCUCGUUUUAAAACCCAAAACUCUUAAAAAAUAAAAUAACAGACAAUAAACCCUCGGUUUCCUCCUCCAAUCUUAAGAAAGGUAAUGUUUUUUUUCUUCUCUUUUCUUUUUAUUUUCUUUUUUUCUAUCAAAAACAAGCAUGAAAGCAAAAUAAUCAAGAAAAAGGAACAACCUUUUUACUAUUUUUUGUAUUUCGAUUUCUAUGGGACCUUUUUUGUAUUGAUUUUUUGAAUAUUCAAGAAUCCCCCCAUUUACAACCGGUUCCCCUUUUUGAAUUUGGAAAAACCGCUUUUUUUAAUUCAGAAAAAAAAACCCCCUUAAUACAUUCGCUUCUUCUCGGCUUUAUAGCCUGUUACAAUAUUAGGAAAAUAUUAUUUAUUUUUGUCAUUUUUGUUUGUCUGCUUCUGUCUUGGUGUCUGCUUCAUUUUGCAGGUGUCAGAUGACCCUCAGAAGCGUACGGAGUGGCGAUGACAGAGGCGUGGUGGCCGAGCACACGUGGGGAGGCCGAUGGUUCGGCGGCCAUAUGCUUGGGGCUAGGGUUUUUUACUUGUUUAGCAGAAAAUAUUUUGUGGGCUAAGUUUUUAUGUUUAUUGGGCUUAUUGGGCUUGCAACUGGGUAAUGGGUUUUGUAAUUGUUUUAUUUGGUUUUUGGGCCCCGGGCAAAAUUUGGGCCUUACACAGUCGCUUCCACCAUAUCUUCAAACACAGAUCGAUAUAUUGGAAAUACAAAAUAGAGAGUUGCAGUCAACGUUCAGUGGGUAACUAAAACACUGCGUAGAAUUGAUUUUGAGAUAUGGGUACUGCAAAAGCAGUGAGAAUCAGUGGAUGCGAGUGAUGGAGUGUACUGUGAAAAUGAAAAUGAAAAAAAAAAAGAGAAUCAAAGGGACUUCGGUGAAAAUCAAAGGUAUUUUGAUUUGGGGAUUUGGGGAAACCGAUUUGAGGAUAUCGAAUUGGGGGAAGUUUUAUGGGAUUUGGAGAUUCAAGGUUUGGGGAACUAGACGUUCAGGGGUAAUCUGAAUUGGAGAAAGUAAAGGAAAUUUGGGGCUCCAAAAAACGAAGUCGUUUUCAAUCUAUUAAGAGAUGUUUGUGGCGUUUUUUAUAAAAACGACGGUAAUUUUGCAGCGUUUUUAAGAAACGCCACUAAGUAUGCAGCC